Molecule: long non-coding RNA, 881 nt
Filed under: Felis catus (domestic cat)
Lineage: Eukaryota; Metazoa; Chordata; Mammalia; Carnivora; Felidae
Description: lncRNA (ENSFCAG00000047481.1)
Source: RNAcentral
UGUGAUGCCUCCGGCUUGGUCUUCUUAGGAAGCGGCUUUUUACAAAUGAGGUCACACAGGGUGUCCAUAUUGCUCUACCACGGGUGAGGGCAGCUGAUUGGUCAAGAGAGAGUAUAAAGGCUCUGGGUUGCUAAGGCAACACCCAGACAGGUGAGGGCUUGGAAGAAGAAGGAUCUUCCUCUGCUCCACCUGCUCCUGAGAGUCCCCUUAACCUGCUGCUUGUGUCGUGCUCACCUAGUGAUUUACUGACCUGCUGACCUACUAACCUGUCUGACCCUCCCCCCUUCCCUUUUGUACUUGAUCUGAUCCUGAUACUGUCCCUGACCCCCUUCUUCUCCUGACACACCCCUUCCCUAACCCCACCCCCCUUUUAUACUCCUACCCCAUCCCCAAUUACCACCCCUCCCCUCUUUCCUUCCCCUCCCCACUCCUCCCUUGCUCACCUACACCCCAUCUCCCAUGUCCACCUCCUGCCUGGAACCUUAGAGUCCCCUUAAAGGACCAGGACAGGAAGGUGCAGAGGCUGUUUUUCUGGCUCCUUGUGCUUGGGUGUCCUGGUUGCCCAAACACAAAUGUAAAGAGUGGAAUAUAUGAAGAUCAAAUUUCUGAGAAGAUUAAGUACUACAUGAAGGAAAAUGCAAAACAUGCAGAAAAAAUGUCCAUUUGUGAAUAGAAGGUAUAACCAUUUUUUCCAUUUUUCUCAUUUUCAUGAUUUCAUGAUUUCAUGAUUUCAUCUAGAAAUGCAUUCACUUCUGGUUCACUGAUUUUGCCAUCUCCUCUUUCAUCCUGAUGUCCCAUUUCAUUCCAUUGUCUACCAGGCUAAAUUCAACGCAAUCAUCACACAUGUAAAAUACCACAUUCUUUAUUUCUGUAAUGACUUA